CUGUAGGUACUGAUCUGUACUAUACUCUAAUGUACUAUACUCACUCUAUAGGUACUGAUCUGUACUAUACUCCCUCUGUAGGUACUGAUCUGUACUAUACUCUAAUGUACUAUACUCCCUCUGUAGGUACUGAUCUGUACUAUACUCCCUCUGUAGGUGCUGAUCCGUACUAUACUCUAAUGUACUAUACUCACUCUGUAGGUACUGAUCUGUACUAUACUCUAAUGUACUAUACUCACUCUGUAGGUACUGAUCUGUACUAUACUCUAAUGUACUAUACUCCCUCUGUAGGUACUGAUCCGUACUAUACUCUAAUGUACUAUACUCCCUCUGUAGGUACUGAUCUGUACUAUACUCCCUCUGUAGGUGCUGAUCCGUACUAUACUCUAAUGUACUAUACUCACUCUGUAGGUACUGAUCUGUACUAUACUCUAAUGUACUAUACUCACUCUGUAGGUACUGAUCCGUACUAUACUCUAAUGUAC
Long non-coding RNA from Oncorhynchus keta (chum salmon), 485 nucleotides. RefSeq lists it as uncharacterized. The record is from RefSeq and is a predicted model, not a curated record. Lineage: Eukaryota; Metazoa; Chordata; Actinopteri; Salmoniformes; Salmonidae. The transcript has 4 exons.